UACGGAGGGGGCUAGCGUUGUUCGGAAUUACUGGGCGUAAAGCGCACGUAGGCGGAUCAGCAAGUUAGGGGUGAAAUCCCGGGGCUCAACCCCGGAACUGCCUUUAAGACUGUUGGUCUGGAGUCCGAGAGAGGUGAGUGGAAUUCCGAGUGUAGAGGUGAAAUUCGUAGAUAUUCGGAGGAACACCAGUGGCGAAGGGCGGCUCACUGGCUCGGUACUGACGCUGAGGUGCGAAAGCGUGGGGAGCAAACAGG
This 254-nucleotide ribosomal RNA is filed under the name uncultured bacterium. Its description in RNAcentral is "partial 16S ribosomal RNA". It matches the Rfam family "Bacterial small subunit ribosomal RNA", at positions 524 to 776 of the family's 1533-position model. The record is from RNAcentral.